AUGUGGCAUGGAGAGAGAAGCACAAACACACGUAACAUCACAGUUCCAAAAUUUGGUCUCUGCUGCAAGGAAGGGAAAAUUAAAUUACCACCACUGAAGCAAGCUCCGUUGUAUCUCCGACAGCUACUACGUUACAAUGAAAGAGGAGAGUCAUCCAAUUUUCGCCAGAACAUCAGGUUGUACAACUCCAUGUUCGCGUUCACUUCAAUGGGAGGAAAGGUUGACUAUGAAAUUAAUAAGCAGACACCUGGACCAUAUGUUUUCCGUUUGAAUGGCCAAAACUACCAUCAGAUUGGCACUUUACUUCCUAAAGAUGACGUGAUGAAACCAAAAUUUGCCCAAUUGUACAUACAUGACACAGAAAAUGAAGUGCGUAACAGGAUUACUGCAUCAACUUCAAUGGAGAGUAAGACAAAGCCAGAUGAAAACAUUGUCAAAGGUCUACUAGAGAUGCUAGAUGAGCACAAUGUUUUAGUCAAAUCGUUUCGUAUGGCAAGGGACAGGUUCGAAAACCGAGAAAUUAAAGAUGUAAGACUAAGAUUGAUCAACAAAAGGUCAAAAGAUGGACGGCAAUACAACCUCCCAUCUGCCUCAGAAGUUGCAGCACUAAUUAUCGGGGAACAAGAUGGAGAAAAUAAUGAAUUUGAUAUAAUAAUUGAGACCAAAGACAGAAUGUUACAGAGGAUUUCAGAGUUGCACCCAAGCUAUAUGUCAAUGCAAUACCCCUUGCUUUUUCCAUAUGGAGAAGAUGGGUUCAGACCAGAAAUAGAGUAUCAAAAAAAGAGAGGCGACAAGUGUAAGAGAAAGUAUGUAACAAUACUGGAGUUUUAUGCAUAUCGCAUCCAACAACGUCUUAACCAAGCAACAACCUUGCAAAUGAGUGGACGUUUGUUCCUACAGUUCUUAGUUGAUGCAGCAACGUGCAUUGAACAAUGGAGACUAAAUUGGUACAGGACAAACCAAGGUAAGCUGAGGACAGAACUAUACAAAGGACUGCAUGAUGCAAUAGAAAAUGGAGAUACACGAACUGAACAAGUUGGCCAAAGAAUCAUACUACCCUCAACAUAUAAUGGUAGCCCUAGAAAUAAGCAGCAAAACUACCAAGAUGCCAUGGCGAUUUGUCGUUGGGCUGGCUAUCCUGAUCUCUUCAUCACUUUUACAUGCAAUCCGAAAUGGCCGGAAAUACAGGAUAUGUUGGAUCUGAUUCCAGGCCAGAAACCUGAAGAUCGUCCAGACAUUGUUGCCAGAGUAUUCAUGUUAAAACUGAAGGAACUUAUGUAUGACAUAAAGAACGAGAAGUGUUUUGGACAAACAAUUGCGAGUAAGUUUACCAACCAACUACAGAUUUACUAUUGCCUAGAUGAUUGUCCAAAAUCAUUUCUUCUAAAAUUUCUUUACUUGCAUGCAGUUGUCUACACGAUAGAGUUCCAAAAAAGAGGCCUCCCUCAUGCACAUAUACUGGUGUUUCUACAUCCAGAUGAUAAAGAUCCCAGUCCUUCCCAGAUCGACAAAAUCAUAUCAGCCGAAAUUCCUGACAAGAAUAGUGAUCCAGAUGGGUAUGAAGCAGUGCAAAAUUACAUGAUACAUGGUCCCUGCGGUCAAGCACACCCAAAAUCACCAUGCAUAGUCGAUAAAAGUUGUGCCAAACAUUUCCCCAAGAGGUUUUGCACUGAAACUACAAUAGAUGAAGAUAACUAUCCAGUAUAUAGAAGACGAGAUGAUGGCAAUACUGUGGACAAAAACGGAGUGAAGCUAGACAAUAAAUUUGUUGUGCCAUACAAUAGAAACAUACUGGUCAAGUAUCAAGCCCACAUAAAUGUUGAAUGGUGCAACAGAUCAAGGUCUAUAAAGUAUUUAUUCAAAUACAUCCACAAAGGAGAAGAUCGAACAACUGUAUUAAUAGAAACAGAAGAGCAACAAAGAGAAACAAGAGGUGGCAAAUUAACAAACAGGGACGACGAAAUCAAGAGAUACCUUGAUGCUUGGUACAUUUCUGGAUGUGAAGCCGCAUGGCGCAUAUUUCAGUUUCCUCUUCAGUAUAGAGAGCCUGCGGUUGAAAGGUUACAAUUUCACCUAGAAAAUGAACAUGUUGUGGUAUUCCCAGACUCGAUGGAUUUAGAUAAAAUCAUAUAUCGGCCUAACAUAGAAAAGACUAUGUUCACAGAAUGGAUGACAGCCAACCAAUUGCAUGAGGAAGCUCGCAGUUUGACGUAUGCACAGUUUCCAACCAAAUGGACUUGGCAUGCAAAAGAGAAAGAAUGGAGGAAAAGACGUGGUGGUAAAAAAACCAUAGGCAGGAUUUACUAUGCACAACCAACAAGCGGUGAAAAAUACUACUUGAGAAUGCUUCUAAAUACCGUGAAAGGAUGCAGAUCCUAUGAAGAAACCCGAACAGUUGAUGGGGCUGUAUAUCCAACAUACAAAUCUGCAUGUUAUGCUCUUGGGCUACUUAAUGACGACAAGGAGUGGGAUGACUGCAUCAAGGAAGCAUCCCAUUGGGCCUCUGCUCCUCAAAUGCGCCAACUUUUCUGCACAAUACUUUUAUUUUGCGAGGUGACUGAUCUUCGAUUCACAAAUGAGGAUGCCGAGCAUAGACCGUUUGGAGGAAUGACAGUAGUCUUGGGAGGUGACUUCAGACAAAUCAGAAAAUAUGCGUCUGAAUUCAUCCGAAGGUAG
RNAcentral lists this ribosomal RNA (2676 nucleotides) under Triticum aestivum (bread wheat). RNAcentral's name for it is "partial small subunit ribosomal RNA". The record is from RNAcentral. Lineage: Eukaryota; Viridiplantae; Streptophyta; Magnoliopsida; Poales; Poaceae.